GGAAUCAAACCACCUCAAAUGCAAAUAUUAUGAAAAAUGACAGCAUGUGUUGGUCUACAUCGUUAAAGAUGAAAAUGAAAAGCUUCACUUUCCAUGAGAACAAAAUCAUUCUCUAUUCAUCGCAUCAACAUUUUUCUUCUGCAACAUACAAUAAAAGAAUAGAAGAAAAAUAAAAGAAUUCAGAUCUUCCUAUUUGAUUAGCAAUAUCUAGAUAAGUUUCUUCUUUAGGAAGAAACGCUUUAAAUGCCACAACUGCAGAGUUGAGACCAAAAUGCAAAGACCCAAAGACAUGAUACUAAACCAUGCUACU
Molecule: unclassified non-coding RNA, 310 nt
Filed under: Hevea brasiliensis (rubber tree)
Lineage: Eukaryota; Viridiplantae; Streptophyta; Magnoliopsida; Malpighiales; Euphorbiaceae
Source: RNAcentral